AAAAGAAUAGGAUUACUUUGUUAUCCUAUAACUUUUGGCAUGGAUGAGCACUCCACUGGCCCAGUAGGUUCACAUGAGUCAGUUCAUGCACAUCAUAUUCAACAAGAACAGAUGCAUGAAAAUGAACAGUCACAAGGAAAAGCUGAAGGGUAUGCUC
This is a long non-coding RNA of Ricinus communis (castor bean), 157 nucleotides long. RefSeq lists it as uncharacterized. The transcript is spliced from 2 exons. The record is from RefSeq and is a predicted model, not a curated record. Lineage: Eukaryota; Viridiplantae; Streptophyta; Magnoliopsida; Malpighiales; Euphorbiaceae.